GCCACCAAUCCCACAGCCACCACCUCCGCAGCCGCCCUCGCCACCUAAGCCGCCUAGCCCUCAGCCACCGCCGCCGCAACCGCCCUCGCCGGUUAAGCCACCUAGCCCACAGCCACCACCUCCGCAGCAGCCCUCGCCAGCUAAGCCGCCUAGCCCGCAGCCACCGCCGCCGCAACCGCCCUCGCCACCUAAGCCACCUAGCCCACAGCCACCGCCGCCGCAGCAGCCCUCGCCGGUUAAGCCACCAAUCCCACAGCCACCACCUCCGCAGCCACCCUCGCCACCUAAGCCGCCCAGCCCACAGCCACCGCCGCCGCAACCGCCCUCGCCGGUUAAGCCACCAAUCCCACAGCCACCACCUCCGCAGCAGCCCUCGCCAGCUAAGCCACCCAGCCCGCAGCCACCACCUCCGCAGCCACCCUCGCCACCUAAGCCGCCCAGCCCACAGCCACCGCCGCCGCAACCGCCCUCGCCGGUUAAGCCACCAAUCCCACAGCCACCACCUCCGCAGCCGCCCUCGCCAGCUAAGCCGCCUAGCCCGCAGCCACCGCCGCCGCAACCACCCUCGCCAGUUAAGCCACCUAGCCCACAGCCACCACCUCCGCAGCAGCCCUCGCCAGCUAAGCCACCCAGCCCACAGCCACCACCUCCGCAGCCACCCUCGCCACCUAAGCCGCCCAGCCCACAGCCACCGCCGCCGCAACCGCCCUCGCCGGUUAAGCCACCAAUCCCACAGCCACCACCUCCGCAGCAGCCCUCGCCAGCUAAGCCGCCUAGCCCGCAGCCACCGCCGCCGCAACCACCCUCGCCACCUAAGCCGCCCAGCCCACAGCCACCGCCGCCGCAACCGCCCUCGCCGGUUAAGCCACCAAUCCCACAGCCACCACCUCCGCAGCCGCCCUCGCCACCUAAGCCGCCUAGCCCUCAGCCACCGCCGCCGCAACCGCCCUCGCCGGUUAAGCCACCUAGCCCACAGCCACCACCUCCGCAGCCGCCCUCGCCGGCUGAGCCGCCCAGCCCGCAGCCACCACCUCCGNNN
Molecule: long non-coding RNA, 1039 nt
Filed under: Volvox carteri
Lineage: Eukaryota; Viridiplantae; Chlorophyta; Chlorophyceae; Chlamydomonadales; Volvocaceae
Description: long non-coding RNA (VCAR_LNC002515)
Source: RNAcentral